UAACAUGGUUAUUUCUAAAGA
This 21-nucleotide non-coding RNA is filed under the name Caenorhabditis elegans. The record is from RNAcentral. Lineage: Eukaryota; Metazoa; Nematoda; Chromadorea; Rhabditida; Rhabditidae.